This 472-nucleotide ribosomal RNA is filed under the name uncultured bacterium. Its description in RNAcentral is "bacterial SSU rRNA". It matches the Rfam family "Bacterial small subunit ribosomal RNA", at positions 32 to 506 of the family's 1533-position model. The record is from RNAcentral.
AUCAACGCUGGCGGCGUGCCUAACACAUGCAAGUCGAGCGAGAAAAGGGGAGCAAUCCCCUGAGUACAGCGGCGCACGGGUGAGUAACACGUGGGUAAUCUGCCCUAGAGUGGGGAAUAACACCGGGAAACCGGUGCUAAUACCGCAUACGUUGCGAGAUCUGCGGAUUUCGUAAUAAAAGGAGCAAUUCGCUCUAGGAGGAGCCCGCGGCUGAUUAGCUAGUUGGUGAGGUAAUGGCUCACCAAGGCUACGAUCAGUAUCCGGUCUGAGAGGACGGUCGGACACACUGGAACUGAGACACGGUCCAGACUCCUACGGGAGGCAGCAGUGGGGAAUUUUUGGCAAUGGGGGAAACCCUGACCAAGCAACGCCGCGUGGAUGAUGAAGUCUCUUGGGACGUAAAAUCCUUUCGACAGGGAAGAAACCCGCAAGGGUUGACGGUACCUGUAGAAGAAGCCCCGGCUAACUCCGU